GAUGAAGAACGUAGCGAAAUGCGAUAAGCAAUGUGAAUUGCAGAAUUCAGUGAAUCAUCGAAUCUUUGAACGCACAUUGCGCCCGCCAGUAUUCUGGCGGGCAUGCCUGUCCGAGCGUCAUUUCAACCCUCGAACCCCUCCGGGGGGUCGGCGUUGGGGACCUCGGGAGCCCCUAAGACGGGAUCCCGGCCCCGAAAUACAGUGGCGGUCUCGCCGCAGCCUCUCCUGCGCAGUAGUUUGCACAACUCGCACCGGGAGCGCGGCGCGUCCACGUCCGUAAAACACCCAACUUCUGAAAUGUUGACCUCGGAUCAGGUAGGAAUACCCGCUGAACUUAAGCAUAUCAAUAAGCGGAGGA
Molecule: unclassified non-coding RNA, 358 nt
Filed under: soil metagenome
Description: partial contains 5.8S ribosomal RNA, internal transcribed spacer 2, and large subunit ribosomal RNA
Rfam family: 5.8S ribosomal RNA (bases 1-120)
Source: RNAcentral